RNAcentral lists this unclassified non-coding RNA (545 nucleotides) under Athalia rosae (coleseed sawfly). RNAcentral describes it as "misc RNA ENSAEAG00005008651.1". Lineage: Eukaryota; Metazoa; Arthropoda; Insecta; Hymenoptera; Athaliidae. The record is from RNAcentral.
CGGACAGUCAGUGCAGAUGUUUUGCUGAGAAAGGUCCAGCUGCCCAACCCAAGCAUAUUGUUGCUCUACUUUUGGAAACGACACAGAGAGUUUGAGGGGAAGAAAUCAUACUCCCUAGUACAUGUAUCUACUCAAGAACUGCAGUCAUUCCAUGGUGGCCCUAUUUCUGAACCCCUCUUGAAGUUCAAGAUUCGGAUUCCUGAGAUCAAAAUACAUGAGGAUAGCGUGGGGAACCCUUCCAAAAAAAAUCUGGAUCUUCAUCUCAGAUUUUGAGAAAAUUCCAAGGCUAUAGGCUUACUGUUUUUUUCGGCAAAAAAGUGAAGCAUUUGCCAGAAUAAUUUCAGGACGCUUUUUCUAUGUAAAAAAGCGUAUCGAACGAGAAGCCGUCAAUGAAAUUGAGCUGGCAUUGAAUCCCAUCGAGAUAUCUUUGAUUUUACACUUUUUCGAUCGAUUAAUUGGCGAUAACUCGAUCAAUUUCAUAGAUGAAAUUAUUUUGCUUGCGGAUUCGGAUUCCUGAGAUCAAUACACAUAAGGAUAGCGUGUUG